GUCUACAGCCAUGCUACCCUGAACAAGCCCAAUCCUGUCUGAUCUCGGAAGCUAAGCAGGGUCGGGACUGGUUAGUACUUGGAUGGGAAACCACCUAGGAAGACCAGGUGCUGUAGACA
Molecule: ribosomal RNA, 119 nt
Filed under: Pteropus alecto (black flying fox)
Lineage: Eukaryota; Metazoa; Chordata; Mammalia; Chiroptera; Pteropodidae
Source: RNAcentral